Molecule: long non-coding RNA, 677 nt
Filed under: Ricinus communis (castor bean)
Lineage: Eukaryota; Viridiplantae; Streptophyta; Magnoliopsida; Malpighiales; Euphorbiaceae
Description: long non-coding RNA (RCOM_LNC000790)
Source: RNAcentral
GAGAAAAGAAGUUCUCAAACUUGUGGUAUUUGCCAUCAAGAGGGUCAUAAUAGAAUAUCUUGCACAAACAGAGGCAAUCAGGUGAGAUUUGUGUAUAAUUGUGAUGUUCAUGUGUUUUAAUUUUUAUUGUAAUGUAAGUGAUAUAAAUUGUAACUGUUUUGAUUAUAGGUCCCUACAGAUUAACUCGCUAGCCAAUCUAGAACUCACAAAUUAGAAAAUGUAGCCAAUGUUAGAUAUAAAGUGCAUGUGGAUUUGGACAUUAGUGAGACAACAUGUAAUAUAACCAUUUAUUUUGAAUAUGAUUUGUGCAUGAUUUUUAUAAAUCAUUGUAUGAUUAGCUUGAUUCCAUCUUGGCACCCUAGUAUGGUAAGUGAAAGAGUGGUUAUCCCUAUGACUAGAUUUCCUAUUCCAAAUGAGCGAGAAAUGAGGAGGAAAAAGCCAGCAACAACUUCACAAAUUGCUAGUCGAAAAAUCAAGUUUGUUGGGGAUGGCUCUAAGGUUACUUAUGCCAUAUACCUACCUUGUCCAAGACUACAUUGGAUGGGAGAACCUUCAAUUACCUCGAAUCAACUAUAAAGAAAAAGAGAGCAAUGUGUUGGAAGAAAAAAAAGGAAGGCCAGUUCUACUAAUGCAAGUGCAGUUACUUAUCAAAAUGACAAUUAGGAUUAAGUUAUGCC